AUGAUAGUUACUUUUUUCUCUAUAACAGGAUUCUUAGUUUCUCGUUGGGCUUCCUCGGGACAUUUUCCAUUAAGUAAUUUAUAUGAGUCAUUGAUCUUCCUUUCAUGGGCCCUGUAUAUUCUUCAUACCAUUCCUAAAAUACAGUACUCUAAAAAUGAUUUAAGCACAAUAACUACGCCAAGUACUAUUUUAACGCAAGGCUUUGCCACAUCGGGUCUUUUAACUGAAAUGCAUCAAUCCACGAUACUAGUACCUGCUCUACAAUCUCAGUGGUUAAUGAUGCAUGUCAGUAUGAUGUUAUUAAGCUAUGCAACUCUUUUGUGCGGAUCCUUAUUAUCUGCCGCUAUUCUAAUCAUUAGAUUUCGAAAUAAUUUCCAUUUCUUUUCUAAAAAGAAAAAAAAUGUUUUAAAUAAAACAUUUCUCUUU
Molecule: ribosomal RNA, 426 nt
Filed under: Triticum aestivum (bread wheat)
Lineage: Eukaryota; Viridiplantae; Streptophyta; Magnoliopsida; Poales; Poaceae
Description: partial small subunit ribosomal RNA
Source: RNAcentral